This 513-nucleotide ribosomal RNA is filed under the name uncultured bacterium. Its description in RNAcentral is "partial 16S ribosomal RNA". It matches the Rfam family "Bacterial small subunit ribosomal RNA", at positions 28 to 507 of the family's 1533-position model. The record is from RNAcentral.
GACGAACGCUGGCGGCGUGCUUAACACAUGCAAGUCGAACGAAAAGAGGGAAAGAGCUUGCUCUUUCCGGAAUUGAGUGGCAAACGGGUGAGUAACACGUAAACAACCUGCCUUCAGGAUGGGGACAACAGACGGAAACGACUGCUAAUACCGAAUAAGUUCCAAGGGCCGCAUGGCCCAUGGAAGAAAAGGUGGCCUCUACCUGUAAGCUAUCGCCUGAAGAGGGGUUUGCGUCUGAUUAGCUGGUUGGAGGGGUAACGGCCCACCAAGGCGACGAUCAGUAGCCGGUCUGAGAGGAUGAACGGCCACACUGGAAUUGAGACACGGUCCAGACUCCUACGGGAGGAAGCAGUGGGGAAUCUUCCGCAAUGGGCGAAAGCCUGACGGAGCAACGCCGCGUGAGUGAUGACGGCCUUCGGGUUGUAAAACUCUGUGAUCCGGGACGAAAAGGCAGAGUGCGAAGAACAAACUGCAUUGACGGUACCGGAAAAGCAAGCCACGGCUAACUACGUG